RNAcentral lists this ribosomal RNA (245 nucleotides) under uncultured bacterium. RNAcentral's name for it is "partial 16S ribosomal RNA". It matches the Rfam family "Bacterial small subunit ribosomal RNA", at positions 15 to 252 of the family's 1533-position model. The record is from RNAcentral.
GAUCAUGGCUCAGGAUGAACGCUAGCGGCAGGCCUAACACAUGCAAGUCGAGGGGUCAGCACGGUGUAGCAAUACACUGGUGGCGACCGGCGCACGGGUGCGUAACGCGUAUGCAACCUACCCAUAACAGGGGGAUAACACUGAGAAAUUGGUACUAAUACCCCAUAAACAUCAGGACCGGCAUCGGUUCUAGGUUUGAAAACUCCGGUGGUUAUGGAUGGGCAUGCGUUGUAUUAGCUGGUUGG